Molecule: ribosomal RNA, 442 nt
Filed under: uncultured bacterium
Lineage: Bacteria
Description: partial 16S ribosomal RNA
Rfam family: Bacterial small subunit ribosomal RNA
Source: RNAcentral
CCUACGGGGGGCAGCAGUGGGGAAUAUUGGGCAAUGGGCGCAAGCCUGACCCAGCAAUGCCGCGUGAAGGAAGAAGGCUUUCGGGUUGUAAACUUCUUUGACAGGGGAAGAGCAGAAGACGGUACCCUGAAAACAAGCCACGGCUAACUACGUGCCAGCAGCCGCGGUAAUACGUAGGUGGCAAGCGUUGUCCGGAUUUACUGGGUGUAAAGGGCGUGUAGCCGGGAAGGGAAGUCAGAUGUGAAAUCUGGAGGCUCAACCUCCAAAUUGCAUUUGAAACUGUUUUUCUUGAGUACUGGAGAGGCAGACGGAAUUCCUUGUGUAGCGGUGAAAUGCGUAGAUAUUAGGAGGAACACCGGUGGCGAAGGCGGCUUACUGGACUGUAACUGACGUUGAGGCUCGAAGGCGUGGGGAGCAAACAGGAUUAGAUACCCUUGUAGUC